This 57-nucleotide microRNA precursor is filed under the name Spodoptera frugiperda (fall armyworm). RNAcentral describes it as "partial precursor microRNA 17". It matches the Rfam family "mir-11 microRNA precursor family", at positions 9 to 72 of the family's 78-position model. Lineage: Eukaryota; Metazoa; Arthropoda; Insecta; Lepidoptera; Noctuidae. The record is from RNAcentral.
CUAGCACUUUGGCUGUGACCUGUGUGUCGUAGUCACAUCACAGUCAGAGUUCUAGCU